RNAcentral lists this ribosomal RNA (442 nucleotides) under uncultured bacterium. RNAcentral describes it as "partial 16S ribosomal RNA". It matches the Rfam family "Bacterial small subunit ribosomal RNA", at positions 338 to 795 of the family's 1533-position model. The record is from RNAcentral.
CCUACGGGAGGCAGCAGUGGGGAAUAUUGGGCAAUGGGCGCAAGCCUGACCCAGCAACGCCGCGUGAAGGAAGAAGGCUUUCGGGUUGUAACCUUCUUUUGUCAGGGAAGAGUAGAAGACGGUACCUGACGAAUAAGCCACGGCUAACUACGUGCCAGCAGCCGCGGUAAUACGUAGGUGGCAAGCGUUGUCCGGAUUUACUGGGUGUAAAGGGCGUGUAGACGGGUUGACAAGUCAGCAGUGAAAUCCUGCGGCUUAACCGCAGAACUGCAUUUGAAACUGUUGAUCUUGAGUACUGGAGAGGCAGACGGAAUUCCUAGUGUAGCGGUGAAAUGCGUAGAGAUUAGGCGGAACACCAGUGGCGAAGGCGGUCUGCUGGACAGCAACUGACGGUGAGGCGCGAAAGCGUGGGGAGCAAACAGGAUUAGAUACCCGGGUAGUC